This 253-nucleotide ribosomal RNA is filed under the name uncultured bacterium. Its description in RNAcentral is "partial 16S ribosomal RNA". It matches the Rfam family "Bacterial small subunit ribosomal RNA", at positions 524 to 776 of the family's 1533-position model. The record is from RNAcentral.
UACGAAGGGGGCUAGCGUUAUUCGGAAUUACUGGGCGUAAAGCGUGCGCAGGCGGUUUUGUAAGUCUGACGUGAAAUCCCCGGGCUCAACCUGGGAAUUGCGUUGGAGACUGCAAGGCUAGAAUCUGGCAGAGGGGGGUAGAAUUCCACGUGUAGCAGUGAAAUGCGUAGAGAUGUGGAGGAACACCGAUGGCGAAGGCAGCCCCCUGGGUCAAGAUUGACGCUCAUGCACGAAAGCGUGGGGAGCAAACAGG